RNAcentral lists this ribosomal RNA (610 nucleotides) under uncultured bacterium. RNAcentral's name for it is "bacterial SSU rRNA". It matches the Rfam family "Bacterial small subunit ribosomal RNA", at positions 62 to 672 of the family's 1533-position model. The record is from RNAcentral.
UCGAGCGAAGCAUUCUGCUUUAAAUCUUCGGAGGCGAAGCAGUCUGACUGAGCGGCGGACGGGUGAGUAACGCGUGGGCAACCUGCCUCAUACAGGGGGAUAACAGUUAGAAAUGACUGCUAAUACCGCAUAAGACCGCGGUACCGCAUGGUACAGCGGUAAAAACUCCGGUGGUAUGAGAUGGGCCCGCGUCUGAUUAGCUAGUUGGCGGGGUAACGGCCCACCAAGGCGACGAUCAGUAGCCGACCUGAGAGGGUGACCGGCCACAUUGGGACUGAGACACGGCCCAAACUCCUACGGGAGGCAGCAGUGGGGAAUAUUGCACAAUGGGGGAAACCCUGAUGCAGCGACGCCGCGUGAGCGAUGAAGUAUUUCGGUAUGUAAAGCUCUAUCAGCAGGGAAGAAAAUGACGGUACCUGACUAAGAAGCCCCGGCUAACUACGUGCCAGCAGCCGCGGUAAUACGUAGGGGGCAAGCGUUAUCCGGAUUUACUGGGUGUAAAGGGAGCGUAGACGGCAAUGCAAGCCAGAUGUGAAAGCCCGGGGCGCAACCCCGGGACUGCAUUUGGAACUGUGUAGCUGGAGUGUCGGAGAGGCAGGCGGAAUUCCUA